GAUCUUGAUGGAAGAUUCCAUCACAGACACCAUCGUCUCACCAGACAGUUAUUUUUUGAGACCUGAGAACACUGGGAUUUUCUUACUUUUUUUAGUUUCAUGUUUGUCCAUUUGCCUCCAUGGCUCCUUCAGGGACGGGGAGGAGAUGAGUUUUUCUUUUGAGGUUUCUCCAUAGGGUGCAUGUUGAAUGGAUGCUGGUAUGCUGCUGCUGCUGCUGCUAAGUCACUUCAGUCGUGUCCGACUCUGUGCGACCCCAUAGACGGCAGCCCACCAGGCUCCCCCGUCCCUGGGAUUCUCCAGGCAAGAACACUGGAGUGGGUUGCCAUUUCCUUUUCAAAUGCAUGAAAGUAAAAAGUGAAAGUGAAGUCGCUUAGUCAUGUCCAACUGUUAGCAACCCCAUGGACUGCAGCCUACCAGGCUCCUCUGUCCAUGGGAUUUUCCAGGCAAGAGUACUGGAGUGGGGUGCCAUUGCCUUCUCUGGAUGCUGGUACAGACAGGCUCAACUGCACCACAAAUGGAAUUAAGUGUUAAAAACACAUGCUUCAUCAUUGCCUACCCUGAGUCUUUAGUUCUUUGGGACCCACUGAUCAAGUUCAACCUCCAUGUUUGAUAGAGGAGGAAACGGAGCUCCUGAGAAGGGAGGCACCCAUUCUGGGUGACAAAGCAAGUCACUGGCCAAAAGUCGUAUCCUUCUGACUACAAAUAUAUUCAGUAUUUUUCUCUCCAACAAACAACCCCUUUCCUGGUCCUGAUGAAUGAAUCAGUAUGUACGUGGGAAGUGCCUGUGCUGGGCCCUGUACAAGGACAGGAUGGACAGUGUCCCCGGUCACAGACGGCAGGUCCUGCUGCCUCGCAAGUUAUUUUCAAUGUUUUCAGACUCUGAGGACGCUGCAGCCCUC
Molecule: long non-coding RNA, 899 nt
Organism: Bos taurus (domestic cattle)
Lineage: Eukaryota; Metazoa; Chordata; Mammalia; Artiodactyla; Bovidae
Source: Ensembl